RNAcentral lists this unclassified non-coding RNA (1851 nucleotides) under Hevea brasiliensis (rubber tree). The record is from RNAcentral. Lineage: Eukaryota; Viridiplantae; Streptophyta; Magnoliopsida; Malpighiales; Euphorbiaceae.
GGACAUGGGUUUUGAACCCCAGAUUAGAAAGAUUGUAAAGGAGGUACCUGCUCGCCGGCAGACUUUAAUGUACACAGCUACUUGGCCAAAAGAAGUUCGAAAAAUUGCAUCAGAUCUGCUUGUUAAUCCUAUUCAAGUCAAUAUUGGCAAUGUUGAUGAGCUUGUUGCCAACAAGUCCAUCACUCAGCAUAUUGAAGCAUUAGCACCACUGGAGAAGCAUAGACGAUUGGAGCAGAUAUUGAGAUCUCAAGAACCAGGAUCAAAAGUGAUAAUCUUUUGUUCUACAAAGAAAAUGUGUGAUCAGCUUGCUCGCAAUCUUACACGCCAAUUUGGAGCUGCUGCAAUUCAUGGAGACAAAUCCCAGGGUGAGAGAGAUCACGUUCUUGGUCAAUUUCGCACGGGGAGGACUCCUGUGCUUGUCGCCACUGAUGUUGCAGCUCGAGGAUUGGAUAUUAAAGACAUCAGGGUUGUUAUCAACUAUGAUUUCCCAUCCGGAGUGGAGGAUUAUGUUCAUAGGAUUGGUCGAACUGGAAGAGCAGGUGCUACUGGCAUUGCUUACACAUUCUUUGGUGAGCAGGACGCCAAGUAUGCUUCAGAUCUGAUUAAAAUUUUGGAGGGAGCUAACCAGCGAGUCCCACCAGAACUUCGUGAUAUGGCUUCUCGAAGUUAUGGAAUGUCCAAGUUUAGACGUUGGGGUUCUGGCUCUGAUGGUCGUGAUGGUGGUCGAGGUGGACGCAAUGAUUCAAACUAUGGUGGGAGGGGUGGACGGGGUAUGUCUUCCUUUUCUUCCGCCAAGCCAGAACGAAGUGGUGGCCGUGGGUAUGACUUCGACUCACGAGAGAGGAAUGAUGGAUACAAUCGCGGGCGCAGUCGGAGUCCUCCAAGGGGUGUGGGAGGUGACCGAACUAAAAGUUGGAACCGCGAACACAGUCCGCCCAGUUGGAGCCCUGACAGGUCUGCACCAGCACGUGACCGCUCUCCAGUGCGGAGUUUUCACCAAGCAAUGAUGGAGCGUAGCAACAUUCCAUCUCGGGGAACUGAAAAUGGUAGUAAGAAUGGUUUGGGAAGCUGGAACCAAGUCCGAAGUCGCAGCCGUAGCCGGAGCCGAAGCCCUAAUCGUUUUAACCGGGCUCCUGCGAUACGAGAACGUUCUCCAGUUUCGGGCUUUCAUAAAACAAUAUUGGAAAAGGGAAACUCUGGAGGCACACACGACUACCCAGAUAAGGAUUUGAGAAAAUCGCCCAGUAGUAGAAUGGAUGGGGGAGGAUACGAAAAGAGUUCUCGCUCCUCAUAUCCUCGAGAAGAAGAUGAGGAAGGCAUGAUCCCGCAAGAUGAACAAGGUAAGGGAGCAGCAGAAUGAUGAAUGAAAAUAUCAUCCCCAAGGCCACUUCUUCUUGAAAGGGAAAAGGUCAGUAGUCAAUGGAGGUUAGUUAGUUACACCCUUUUGGGUACCAUAUGUGCUCCUCUCUGAUUAUAUUGUGGAAACUAUAAAGAAGACCCAAAUAUUUUAUGCUGUCUAAAGUUCCAAUUUCCAUACCUCCCAACUUUUUGGUGCAAAAGAAAGGGUGUUUAUUAUAGGAGUUGUGUGUUUUACAAGGUUAGUGUGCCUGAAUCCUCUUGAUAUUUGAUGAAACAGGCUUUUAUAUAUUUUUUUUUGGGGUGGAGGUAAAAGGUUUUGAAUUUGACUACAUGAUAUGGACAUGUAUGGAAGGUUGUAAUAGAAGACUUAAAUUGUAAAUGUAGUGAUGUCUGUCUCAAUGAGAUGUACAUGUUAAACUGUUAAGGGAGUAAAAUCAGUGCUCUCUUCAAAACAUUUUGGUCACUUCUGUUGUUGUUAGACUUUGAGAAUGG